This 27-nucleotide small RNA is filed under the name Arabidopsis thaliana (thale cress). RNAcentral describes it as "ATSL293370". Lineage: Eukaryota; Viridiplantae; Streptophyta; Magnoliopsida; Brassicales; Brassicaceae. The record is from RNAcentral.
GUUGAAAUUGUAGAUUUCGUACAUGAC